Molecule: long non-coding RNA, 11828 nt
Filed under: Marmota monax (woodchuck)
Lineage: Eukaryota; Metazoa; Chordata; Mammalia; Rodentia; Sciuridae
Source: RNAcentral
AUGCCUGGGUCCCCAGGUCUUAACAGUAAGUCCCUAGGCUGUGUCUCUCUCCCUUGCUCUACCAGUCUGAGGACCAUCCAUGCUGCCCCCAGAGCCUUGACAGCUCCUGAACAGAUUCCAGGCAAGAGAAACUGAAAGGAUCUCCUUUUAGCCCCUACUUUUGACUAGGGCCUUCUGCAUCACUUGCUGAGGUCAGUAGGUAAAAUGGGAGGGUUAGGGCAUAGAGGAAUGGUGCACACAGACCAGAGAGCUCUUUGCACCCUAGAAUUAGGGAGAGGAUAUGAGUUUUGCAUGGAGGUGUCCAUAGACUGGAGGAAUAAGUCUGAAAGGCUGACAGAUUGUUUCAAGAAGUGUCAAGCAAGCCAUGCAAGAAGGGAGGUGACUGGAUCUCAGGAAGUGGAGUGUGGAACCUUGCCCUGCCCUUGUGGGAUCUCCUGGGUGAGAAGUCAUGGUGGAUGGAAAGGAGUUGAACAGGGAAGCCCAGGGUGGCAGCAAUUAGGAUAGGGGAACUGAUGGGUGGUUGGACAGCUAUGAAGCUGUUCUUCUCAUCUGCCUGCCUCUGCUCUUGACUUCCCAGGUUUGGGAUGAGGGGAGAGGCCGUGAUUAGAAAGAAGGGGAUAUGGAAGCAGAGCUACCCCAGGCACUAGAAGACUAGAUGGAGGGCAGAAAAUGAGAAAGUGGUACAGAACAGAGACCUGGAGACAUUCGGGGGACAGGGAGCAGUUUAUGUUGAACUGGAAAUCUGGAAACAGGCCUCUCUGGUCUCGAAGUUCCCGGUAUUGGGGGCGCGGGAGCGGCAGCCGAGCAGGCUGGGUGGGGGGCGGGCAGCUGUGUCGUCAGGAGUUGGGGCGGCCCCGAGGCCGCUGCGUCUGCUUGGCCCGUCCUCUCCAGCCCAGCUCCAGCUCCAGCUCCUCCAGCGCCAGCGCCAGCGCUUCAGCUCCGACCGCUCGCGCUCCUCGGGCAAGGUAGAGACCCCGCCCUUCCACGCUCUCCCACUGGAGUAGGAGGCCGGCCUCCAAAGGGGUCGCCUCGCGGGCUGGGUUGGGGCUGCGAGGCAGCGAAGGAGGAAGCGUAACAGCUGGAGUGGGUGGCUAGGGUGGUUUGCGCUGGGACGCCGCGGGCAGGGGGAGGGUUGGGCCAGAACCGCGUAGGCAGCCUCUCCACAGACAUUUUCUUCCAUCCUUCCUGGUCACUCGGAAGGAUGAUGAAGCUCUGCUUCUUGGGGACCCGACUCCCAAGGAAGUCCCUUUUGGAAUCUCCACAGUGCCGCACAGGUGGAGAAGGGUUCUUAUUUGUCCUCCUGGUCCCCAACUUCCUGUCCUCAUCCUUUACACACCUGUCACCAGCUAGUUUCUAAAAAUCCCUGAUUCUGAAUCCCACUUUUCAGCUUCAAGUAAAAGAAAUGAGUCUUCUCGCGGAAGAAAUGCAAAUAGUGUUAGACAUCUCUUCAGCCUCAGAACAUACAUGGCCACAUCCCCACAACCAUGCCAAUAUCGUAACUUCCUCCAGUACUACGCAAUGAUACCCUCCACAUGUACCACCCCCUUAACCAGACAACACUAUCGUCUGCGAUGUUUGUGGAGGUUUAAUUAAUUUUGAGGCUUCGGGCCAAAUAAUUCUCUCUCGGGGACCACUGACUUACAGAAGCAGGAAUGAACAGGGAAUAAUAAACCUUUUUUCAGUCUUGGGAGAGGAAGAGGAUACAGUCCCUGAUAGAGUUAAGGGAUUCAGAGGCCCAGGUAAUCAGGCCUGAGCCCUCAAACUAGGAGUGCCUGCCCCUUGGGGAUUCUUGCUGGGACAGCCUGAAUGUCCUGGGGACAUAGCUAAUUCUUGAGUAAUGAUCAGCUUAUGACCUGGAAUGUGAAAAUUUAAAUGUUAGCACUGGCUUUAGCAAUGAUAUUUAUCUCUUGGUUAACACCAAUUUUAGUGUUUGAUGUUUAAAAUUAGAUCUAGGGAAUGAGAGAUACUAAGAUUUAGUGGGAUGGAGUAAGGACAGCACAUCUAGAGUCUAAGACUCUGACAGUCAUUUUCUCUAAGUCUUACUUUCCUCCAUUCUCUUCGUUUGAUUGUUUGUUAGAGAUGGGGUGGAGGGUGUUUCAGUAUGUUGCCCAGGUUGGGCUUGAAUUCUGGAUCCUCCUGGCCAGCCUCCUGAGAACCUGGAUAUAAAGGCAUGUGCCACUGAGCCCUGUUGUUCAGUUUCCUCCUUUGUAAAAUAUGAGAAUUGGCAACUCCCAGCUGAGAAUGUUGUAGCAUUCUUCACCUUUAAAUCAACAUAUUCCUUUUGCCCCAAGUUGGAAGAGGUGGGUAGGGAAACCAGAAGAGAGAAGGGUAGAGUGAGUCACAAAUAGCUGGCAGGCAGGCAGCAGACCCCACCCUUCUAGCCCUGGCAUUCGCCUGGACUAGCCCAGGUUAUAGCCUCAGGGUUGGGAUGGAGCUAGAGGACAAAAUUGAACUUGUUCCAGAUCUUUAAGGGCCCAGGAUCCUGCAGCUUGCUGUCCUUCACCCCCAGAGGCAUCCAAACUUUCAAUGAAAGAAGUCAAAAAGAAGAUUAAACAGAUCCAGGAGUCCUUAUGUCCAAGAGCUCAACCCAGGGAUGUCCUUGGACUCUUUUUUUUUUUUUAAAGGAUUUCCCCAUCUUUUUUUUUUUUUUUUUUGAGAGAGAUAGAUUUUAAUAUUUAUUUUUUAGUUUUCGGCAUCUUUGUUUGUAUGUGGUGCUGAGGAUCGAACCCAGGCCGCACACAUGCCAGGCGAGCGCACUGCCGCUUGAGCCACAUCCCCAGCCUCUGUCCUUGGACUCUUAACAGUCUAGUUUCUAAAAAUUCCAGAGCAAAGUAUAGGAUUCUGACAUUACUAUAUGUCGGUACCUGAUAUAUAAAAAGGGGUGGAAGGUAUACACCCGAGCUUCACUGCUGCUUGAAGUCCCUAGAACUUGUGCCUUUCUGGUUCAGUGGCAUAAUUUUUCAUAAUGUCCACAUAUCCUUCUCUAGGUAGAAUAAUAGCUAAUGUUUAUUGAAUUCUUUGUGACACACAGUUUAUUAUAUACAUUGCUUAUACAAUCUUAUUUAAUCUCCACUCUGUGACAGAUUUCUCUAGGUACCCAUUUUACUGAUGAAAACUGAGGUUGGGCUGGAGGCAUAGCUCAGUGGCAGUAUGCUUACUCAGCAUUCAUGAGGCACUUAUGCAUACAUAUACAACACUGAGAUUCAAGGAAAUGAAAUGACUCAUCCACAAGCUAGGAUUUUAACCUAUGCCUAAUUUGAAAGUCCAUCCCUGCCCCCUUUGUGGUAGGAGGGAUUGAAUUCAGACCUUUGCUAUGUUAGGCAAGUGCUCUACCACUGAGAUACAUUCCCAACCUUUUUUAAAUUUUUGAGACAGUUUUCACUAAGUUGCCCAGGCUGGCCUCAAACUUGGGAUUCUUCUGCCUUGGUUUCCCAAAGUGCUGGGAUUACAGGUUUAUACCACAAACCUGUCCCAAAGUCCGUUUUCUUAGUUAACUAGUAACUAGUGGUUACUAAUAUAUAGUAAUUGCUACAUACUACUUCUCCAGGUUUAAGGCCUGGAGAGCUAGGAAGAGGCAAAAACAAGUUGAGUCAUUGUGAAAAGAGAGACAAGGAGAUAAUCUGGAACACAUACAGUAGGUGGUAAAUCAAUAGUUGAUUUAUUUUCCUCUCUUUUAUUUUUCCUUGUGCUGUCAUUUUCUCCCUCAGAUUCUAUUUUUUCCAGAACUUUGGAGUAAUGUAAAAAUCCCCAAGGGGUUAAUCAGAAAGGCUAAUUAAGCAAUGCAGGCCCUAUUGAUACUAAGAUUGUUAUAUAUUCAUUAGAUCUGUUGGCAGCAGAAGUUGAAUUAUAGUAAUUGGUAAAGGCCAAAUGGGUAGUCUUUUCUCCAGGAUGUCAGUGUCCCAGGACCCUCUUCCAAGUGUUCCCAGAAAGCCCUGGAACAGGAAUGUUGUACUGCAUAGAGGUGGACAGCAGAGAUGUCCCAAGGGCAGAAGUUGCAGAGAAGGUUCUUGCGCCAUCAGAAAGGAAGGGGGCGGAACUAUUGUAGGCCCUAAAGGCCUCCCUGCUUUGCCUGAUCUCAUAAGCCCCAAAGGAGUAAAUGGAGGUCAAAAUGUUUGAUGAAGUAACUCAAUAAAUGCUUUAUAGAAUCAUUUACUCUUUUACCAACUAUUGAUUUACCAUCUACUGUAUGUGUUCCAAAUUAUCUCAUCCUUUCCUUACUGUUAAGUAGACACUGCUAUCCAUUUAAUCAUACUGAUUAACAGUUCCAAAAUAAGACUCCCCUGCUUUAUACAAUCAUUCGUAUAACCUAUAUUGAGCACUCACUAUAUGCUGGACGUUCUUUUAGGUACUUGGACUAUAUUGGCAAACAAGACUGACAAGUUCCUGCCCUUAUGGAACUCACAUUUUUUUAAAAUAAUUAUUUUAUUACAUUUAUUUGUAUGUGAUGCUAAGGAUCGAACCCAGUGCCUAACACAUGCUAGGCAAGCACUCUACCACUGAGCUCCAGACUCAGCCAUGGAACUCACAUUUGAUAGAAGAGAACAGUAAAUAAAAAGCAAAUUUCCAGUUACUUUGGAUGCCAAGGUAGGAGGAUCACAAGUUUAAGGCCAGCCUGGGCAAUUUAGUGAAGCCCUGUCUCAAAAUAAAAUAAAAAUAAGGACUGGGGAUGUGGCUUAGUGGUGGGGUGCUUGCCUGGCAUGCACCACAAUCCUCAUCACCACAAAAAAUAAAAUAAAAUAAAAAUAAGGGUUGUUGAUGUAACUCAGAAGCAGAAUUAUCCAGGAUUCAAUCCCAUAACUCCCCUUCCCCCACUGCCUGGGACACACACACAAAGAAACAAAUAAAUAGGGAAGAUAAUUUCUACUUGUGAUAAAUUCUAUGAAGGAAACAAAGAAGAAAUACCAUUUUAAGAUGGAACAGUCAAGGAAGCUCUCUUGGAGGAGCUGAUAUUCAGUUGAGGCAAGAAGUUGGCUUUGCCAGGUGUGGGGAGGAGGAUGCAGUGCUGCACAACUAUAAUCCCAGUGACUCUGGAGGAUGAGACAGGAGGAUUGCAAGUUUGAGAUCAGCCUCAGCAACUUAAGUGAGGUCUUAAGCAACUUAGUGAGAACCUGUCUCAAAAUAAAAAGUAAAAAGGGCUGGAGACAUGGCUCAGAGGUAAAGUGCCUCGAGGUCCAAUCCCCAAUAUCCAAAAUAAAUAAUAAAAACUUAACUUUUAAUAUAAUAACUACCAUUUUUAUAGGCUUCCUGUAUGCAAGGCAUUAUACUAGGCAUUUUUCAUAUAUUAUAUUAUUUAAUAUAAUUGUGAAAGCUAGGUAUCAUUCUCCCCACUUUACAGAUUUAACUUGCCCGAGACACACAGAGCUAUCAGAGCUAAGAAUUGGAACCAAAUAGAACUGACUUUUAGUUCUGUUUGACUCUAAAAUCGUGCUGUACUAUUUACUAUUGUAAUAUGUAAUAACGUACUUUUUGUUUUCUUCUGGUACUGGGGCUUGAACCCUGGGGCGUUUAACAACUGAGCCAUAUCCCCAGACUUUUUAUUUUAUUUUUUUAUUUUGAGACAGCAUCUCAAUAAGUUGCUUAGGGCCUCGCUAAAUUGCUGAGGCUGACUUUGAACUCCAGACCCUCCCGCUUCAGCGAUCCUCCAGCCUUAAACCGCCCCCACCCCCAAGUCGCUGGGAUUACAGGCGUGCACCACCACGUUCAGCCGUAACAUGUAAUUAUUGUAUUGCUGUUUUUGAACCAUCAAGGCAAGUCGCCUUCUGCAACUUGGUCCCUGUUUGGGGGGAUGGAGUGUGAGGAUCAGCAAUAUCCACGUGAGAGCUCCUCCUUGUUUCCUGGGUCCAAUAGCAGAAAGUUGGGGUUCCCUAAACCUAGGGUUCCUCCUAGGUUCCUUAAACUUAGGAGGGUGGAAGGAAGACCCUGGCAUCCAAGACUCCAGCACGCAGCUCCAUGGUGCGGCGCCUGGGAAAUGAGGCUGGUGUACAGAGCAUUCUACCACUACCUCCUCCCAGCCCCGCGCGCCUGGGUCCCCACCCUUUCCCAGUGGAGCUCCACGGCGAGGCGGGGCCAGAGCUAGGGACCCAGCCAGAGCCUGCGCUGGUUCUGUGUCGCGCGUCAGAAGCGCUAGAGGUCGUUGCGGGGCGAAGUGGAAGUGGGUAGCUGAGCGCCCUGGGGACCCCGGCUAGAGGCGGAGCAAGAUGGGGUCCUGGCCUGGGAGGCGUGCUAGCUUAGUAAGAACCACCCGGAGGGCUGGCGGGGACUGCAGACCUGAGAUGGAAGAGAAGUCGGGCUAUGAAGAGACAACAGAGACUGGGGGUGGCGUGAGACACAGAAACAGGCCAGAGAUAUAUUCAUAUAAACAUAUAUAGACUUGGAAAGGAGGGGUGGAAGGUGGGGAGGUGAUGAGGGUCAGGUGAAUCAAGAUGGAUUUGGGGAGAAGUCAGAGUGGGAAAAGAUCCAGAAAUGAAGGAGAUAAAGUUAAGAAAUGAGUCAGAGAAACAGAGAUAGAGGACAGGCUCUGUAAGGGAAAAUAGAGAGGGGGAGGUUUAGGGAGGGACACAGAGAAGGAAAGCACAGAAAUCACAGUGGGAGUAAAGACUGAAUGGAUCAGAGAGAAACAAAGAAAUCCAGACAGCUGGCUCUUCUCCAUGUAGCUCUUGUCAUCUUCCUUCAGGCCUACCCUCUGAAGAGGACAAACCGCAAGAAGUACUACUACGAAGCUAUCUUUCUGGCCAUCAUUCAGAAAAACAGAAAGAUGGCCAAGGAAAGGGGACUAUUAAGCCCUGAAGACUUUGCCCAGCUGCAAAAAUACAUGGAAUGUGAGCCUUCCUCCCAGCUCUUCAGUUCUUGGAGACUACCCAAAGAAUCCCUCUUUAUUCCUAUUAUAUUUUCCCCAUCACGCCCCAGUUUCCCCAGUGGCUUUAAGCCAGUCUGUCAGAUGGACCCAUGACUGUGUAAGGGAGAAAAACAGAUAAGGAGAUGCCUGGGGUCUCAGCUCUCUACCCACCUUCUGUAUACUUUGACUGCUUUCUGCAAGCCCCAGAAAAGAAAAGAGUGGUACCAUGUUAGAGGAUCUGAAAUGUUUUUCCCUUUGUAUUUCUGUGUUUCUCCUUAGAAUUCUUCCUUCAUCUCAUUCAAAUCUUUUUUUUCCCAUUGGAUGUCUGAGUGGGACUCUGGCAGAAGGCCAGAAGAGCCAAGAUGCCAAGAUGGACUAAUAUUCUUUUCUUACUCUCUUCACACCUAGACUCCAACCAAAAGGUCAGUGAUGUCCUAAAACUCUUCGAGAACGAGAAGAUGGCCAAAUAUCUCCAAGGAGAUGUGAGUGGCAGCUGGAAAUUCUGCUCCUUAAUCAACUUCUUCUUCUUCUUUUUUUUUUUUUUUUUGCCACUCCAUUGGAAUCCCCACUUCAGGGAUUAUUCUUGUCAGCUCGCCUCUAAAUGCCCCAUUGUCCAUUGUCAUUGCAGCUUUUGCUUUAAGACAAAAUAAGAGAUCCUUUGGAUUUGGCUUGCCAAGAAGCAUAUUACUGUUUCAAAUGCUUCUCAGCUUUGCACUUACUGUAUCUGGGCCCACUAUUCCUAGUUCUUCAGUCCCCAACUCCUACCCUGCAAACUCCCAGAGUAAUGCUCACUUCCAUCACAGGCCAUUGGCUAUGAGGGAUUUGAGCAAUUCCUGAAAAUCUAUUUGGAAGUGGAUAAUGUUCCCCAUCACCUAAGCCUGGCACUGUUUCAUUCCUUCCACACUGAUCACUGCUUAAAAGAGAAUGUAAGGAAAGGUAUGUUUCAUGGUAGGACUGGGCUGGGCCUGUGGAAGAAAAGUAAAAUUAGUGCGUUUGAGGAUGAGGUUGAAUUGAGUCACAUGUUGAGUGGGUCAGGAGAGAGUGGUGGAGGGUAGUAAGGCUGGACUAGGAGUUAGCUGGAGGAAAGUUCAAGGGGGAAAGUUGUAAUAAAUAAAGGAGAAGAGAACCAAAGUGGAGGGGCCCUGACCUCAGAUCUGCUGUACUUUUUUGUAGCAAAUGUGGUAUGUCUCAGUGAUGUCUCCUGUUACUUUUCCCUUCUGGAGGGUGGCCGGCCAGAAGAUAAGCUAGAAUGUGAGUUGCUAUUCUGGACUGGGAGAGGGGAGGAAAGGUGAGGGAAAAGGGAGAUAUUCAUUCCCUAGCCUCCCUUCCCUCAUUCUUUCAGGAUUCCUAAAGGCUGACAGGGCCAGACAAAGGUGGGGCCAGAGAUUGGGCCCAUUUCCUCUGUUCUUCCAGACUACUUAUACCUAAUGCCAUCCCUCAUAGUCACUUGAAUUCCCACAUUUUGUACAUUCUUAUGUAGGCAGUCUGGGAUGUUCUCGGGAUAUGGGAAUGUGUGUUAUCUCCCCCAUCUGAUUCACUGAGAGUGGCAUCUAUGCCUGCUUUCCUUCCCUUUUUGUCUUCUUUUUCAGUUCCACCCUAAGUCCUAGGCUCUUCACCCAAAAGUUUUUUUCCCUAUCUCUGUUUCCCCUGUAUUCUGGUGUAAUUAUUUAGUUAUCUCUCACAAACUGACCCCAGCCUCCCUAAAACACCCCACAGUCNAAAAAAAAAAAAAAAAAAAAAAAAAGAAAGAAAGGAAAAAAAAAGAGAGAGAAGGCUAGAAGACAUUGAAUCCUCUAGGGACUAAAUUUGGGAGUAGGUCCUAAGCUCUUGACCCCUAAAAGAGAAGCCUGGAGACAUGAACUGGAAGCUGACUUGCAAAUAUACAAACACAUUUAUUUACUUGGUAGAAGCACCUAAGAAUGAGAGAGAGGUCUGGGAAUGGAGCUUAGAAACCCUGGUUUCUGGAGAAGAGUCUAGUGUGGCAGUAGCAAUGGGGGUAUGGCUGUGGCUCUUUUCCUUUUUGCCCCAGGAAGUGGAAAGAAUCAUACUCCAGAUGACACGAGUGGCUGAAUAUCUGGAUUGGGAUGUGUCAGAGCUGAGGCCGGUAAGGCAGUUCUUCCUCCCUGUCCUUUAUUAUGCCUUCUUCUUUGGUGAUCCUACAUCUGCCUUACCCUGUCUCUGAUAGGCCACCUUGUUCCCUCAGCUAGGAGGGUUGUGCUGGGUAUCCCAGGAGACAGUGGAGAGGUCUCUGAGGGGCAUAUCUACCCAAGUCCCUUCCCACUCUGUUCAGAUUUUUCAGGAGAUGAUGAAAGAGAUUGACUAUGAUGGCAGUGGCUCUGUCUCCCUAGCUGAGUGGGUCCGAGCUGGGGCCACUACGGUGCCGCUGCUAGUACUGCUGGGGCUGGAGAUGGUGAGUAGAAGAAGCUUGUUAGGAUGGCUUCUACUUGUCAGAGAUUAGCCUGCUAAGGGCUUAGACACUCCUUAGCAUCCUCUGUGCCCUCCCAGACUCUGAAGGAUGAUGGGCAGCACAUGUGGAGACCCAAGAGAUUUCCCAGACCAGUCUACUGCAACCUGUGCGAGUUGAGCAUUGGUCUUGGCAAACAGGGGCUGAGCUGUAACCGUAAGUAAUGGGACCCGGGAGUGUGGGAGAAGAUUGGAGCCCAAUUAUCUGCAGGAGCAUGACACUGAACUAAGACAUGGGUUUGAAUACUAGGUUUGAAUACUAGGUUGUGCUACUAACUAGUUAUGUGAUCUUGGGAAAGCCACAUAACUUGUUGUUUUGUAGUGCUGGGGAAUCAAACCCACUGUCUCAUGCAUCUUUUUUAAGCUUUAGUUUCCUCUACUGAAAAUGAAGUCAUUGUGAGCAUUAAAUAGUUUGAUACUAAAAAAAAAAAAAAAAAAAUGUGCUUCACAGCCAAGCUUGGUGGUGUACACCUGUAAUCCCAGUUAUUCAAUAGGCUGAAGCAAGAGGAUCACAAUUUCAAGGGCAGCUUCAGCAAUUUAGCAAGACCCUAUCUUAAAAUAAAAAAUAAAAAGGGCUGGGAUGUGGCUCAGUGGUAGAGUACUCCUGAGUUCAAUCCCCAGUACUGCAAAAAAAGAAAGAAAAAGAAAAGUGCUUCACACGUUGUAAUCACACACUAUAAAAUGCAAUAAAAAGUAGUUAGCCAGGCACGGUGGUGAAUGCCUGUAAUUCCAAUGGCUCAGAAGGCCGAAGCAGGAGGAUAACAUGUUCAAAGCCAGCCUCAGCAAUUUAGUGAGACUCUAAGCAACUUAGCAAGAACAGGUUUUGGAUGUGGCUCAGUGAUUAAGCCCCUUUGGGUUCAAUCCAUGGCACCCUCCCCCACCACACAUACAAAAAGUAGUUAUUGGCUGGGUUUAGUACACAUGCCUGUAAUCCCAGCAACCAGGGAUACUGAGGCAGUAGAAUUGCAAAUUCAAGGCCAUCCAAGCAAUUUAGUGAGAUCCUGUCUCAAAACAAAAUUUAAAAAAGGUUUGGGGAUGUAGGUAGGUGUAGACCUCCCCUGGGCUUAAUCCAUAAUACCAAGAAAUAAAUAAAUAUUAGUUAUUAUUGAUAAUGUUAUUUCUGGGCCUCCCUUAGAUCAUCCAGCCUAAUUCCAGCUGGCCCAUGGAUGGUGUGGAGACAGGCUUAGGGUGGUAGUUGCUUUUUUAGGAGGAGGAGUGAGAAGAAGUCACAGUUUUUGGAGGUGAAUCCCCCCCACAAAAAAAUUAAUUAUCUGCUACACCCUUGAAAGCAAGGAAUUUGAUGUCUUGUUCUAGAGGGUGAUCCUUUCCCCAAGUAAAGAACAGAUGUGGGAAAGGACUGCAGCUAAGGCUCUGACCUUUUUCCCUUUCCCCCAGUCUGUAAGUACACUGUUCACGACCAGUGUGCCAUGAAGGCCCUGCCUUGUGAAGUCAGCACCUAUGCCAAGUCUCGGAAAGACAUUGGUGUGAGUGAUCCCUGGAAGCUUCUCCCACUCCCCACAUUGCCACCCCCAUCUUGGCCCCGGUCCUUAGUUUUUUGCUCCCCUCGGCCUCUUCCUCCCCCAGUCUCUGCAGACUAGGAACUGUCUUUCUCCCUAAGGUCCAAUCACACGUGUGGGUGCGAGGAGGCUGUGAGUCCGGGCGCUGUGACCGCUGUCAGAAAAAGAUCCGGACCUACCACAGUCUAACCGGGCUGCAUUGCGUAUGGUGCCACCUAGAGGUGUGAGAGCUCUCCGUCCAGUCUAUAUGCCUUCUGGUCUCUCCUCAAGGGCCCUCUCUCCACAGGCCUCCUCAAUCCCACCUCCUUUACAGCUGUAGUUGUCCUCGCUCCCAAGGGCUCUCUUUCCAAUCCAGACCCAAGUUGAAAGGUGGUAGAGUCCCUUGCAUGAUCCUGUAUGCCCAUCUUGUCUUUCAGAUUCAUGAUGACUGCCUGCAAGCCGUGGGCUCUGAGUGUGACUGUGGGCUGCUCCGGGAUCACAUCCUGCCUCCAUCUUCCAUCUAUCCCAGCGUCCUGGUGAGACACAUAGAAUGUCAUUUAGAACAGGAGACCCUAUACUUCUAGGAUUCGAGUCAGGCCCAUCUGUUUAGGGAUUUAUACACAAUCCAGCUCUCCUUCCCUCUGCUUUGCUCCCCUCCCAGGCAUCUGAACAGGAACGCAAACACAGCAAAACAAGCCAAAAGACCACAGAUGACUCAAAUUUGUGCAUCUCUGAAGCUCUGCGGGUACAGGGUUGAGGUCUUGGGCUUCAUGGUGGGGUCAGUUUUUGGCUGGAGCUGACAUGGGAGGGACUGAAGUGGGAAAUCCUUGGGAAGUGCUGCCUGAUUUCUAGAGGCUCCAUGGGGUAGGAGAGGAGAGAAGAACAUGAAGGAGGGGGAAAGCAUUUGGGAAAUGCCAGUCCUCUGCCCCUGUCUCCAGGACCCACUUUAACACUGACAAAAUCCUGCUUUCUUUAUUCUUAUUUUCUUCCCCAACUGCAGAUCAACCCUGUUUCUAACACCCACCCACUUCUAG